This 458-nucleotide ribosomal RNA is filed under the name uncultured bacterium. RNAcentral's name for it is "bacterial SSU rRNA". It matches the Rfam family "Bacterial small subunit ribosomal RNA", at positions 335 to 781 of the family's 1533-position model. The record is from RNAcentral.
ACUCCUACGGGAGGCAGCAGUGGGGAAUAUUGCACAAUGGGGGAAACCCUGAUGCAGCCAUGCCGCGUGUGUGAAGAAGGCCUUCGGGUUGUAAAGCACUUUCAGUAGGGAGGAAGGUAGUGUAGUUAACAUACCUGCAUUAUUUGACGUUUACCUACAGAAGAAGCACCGGCUAACUCCGGUGCCAGCAGCCGCGGUAAUACGGAGGGUGCGAGCGUUAAUCGGAAUUACUGGGCGUAAAGCGCAUGCAGGCGGCCUGUUAAGUCAGAUGUGAAAGCCCGGGGCUUAACCUCGGAAUUGCAUUUGAAACUGGCAGGCUAGAGUCUUGUAGAGGGGGGUAGAAUUUCAGGUGUAGCGGUGAAAUGCGUAGAGAUCUGAAGGAAUACCAGUGGCGAAGGCGGCCCCCUGGACAAAGACUGACGCUCAGAUGCGAAAGCGUGGGGAGCAAACAGGAUUAG